RNAcentral lists this transfer RNA (82 nucleotides) under Bacteroidota bacterium. RNAcentral describes it as "tRNA-Tyr". It matches the Rfam family "tRNA". From Rfam's summary of the family: Transfer RNA (tRNA) molecules are approximately 80 nucleotides in length. Their secondary structure includes four short double-helical elements and three loops (D, anti-codon, and T loops). Lineage: Bacteria; Pseudomonadati; Bacteroidota. The record is from RNAcentral.
GGGCAGGUACUCAAGCGGUCAACGAGGGCAGACUGUAAAUCUGCUGACGAAGUCUACAAAGGUUCGAAUCCUUUCCUGCCCA